UCCCCCAUAAUUUUAUAUAUUUUGUUUAUAUAUUUUAACGUAUAUUAAUAUAUUUAAAUAUAAUUUACGGAUUUCAGAAAUGAAUAUGUAAUUAAAAUAUAAUUAUUUUAUUUCAUUUUGAAUACUUUUAAUGAUUUACGAAAUCAAAAUGUAUAUUUGAAUUUUACGUUAAAACGAUUUCGAAUUACGAAACCACGUUCUAUUGAAAUUAGAAAGCAAUACUAAACAUUGUGGAUUCAUCAACCUAAAUCCUACUCCUAGCCCAAUUGGGCAAAGCCCAAACCAAUAAACCCAACUAAAUACUCCCUCCUCUUCUCUACUCUUACGUGAAACCAAAAGAAGAAAAAAAAAAAAGAAAAGAGAAACCCUCCUUCAAUUCACGCACAACUCAGCCAUCUCUCCUUCCUCCCCUCCACGCCGUCGCCCACUGCCGGACCACCACCUGCACCGACGACCACCGUCGACCCUCGUGCACCACCUUUGCGCCUAGCCGCGCCGCUGAGCCACCGCCUUCGCCGCCGCCUCCGCGAGUCUCUUCGCCACCCGCACAACACCACCUUCGUCAGCUCAAUCGACCGUCGCUGCCGCGCCGCAAAGUCUACCGCCGGCCAGCCUCCUCCUCAUUCUCUCCUUGUGGUGGAGAAUUCUC
Molecule: long non-coding RNA, 649 nt
Organism: Spinacia oleracea (spinach)
Lineage: Eukaryota; Viridiplantae; Streptophyta; Magnoliopsida; Caryophyllales; Amaranthaceae
Exons: 4
Source: RefSeq, a predicted model, not a curated record